Canis lupus familiaris (dog) is the source of this 83-nucleotide non-coding RNA. Lineage: Eukaryota; Metazoa; Chordata; Mammalia; Carnivora; Canidae. The record is from Rfam.
GCCUGAGUGGCUCAGCGGUUGAGCAUCUGCCUUCAGCCCAGAACAUGAUCCUGGAGUCCUGGGAUCGAGUCCCACAUCGGGCU